AUUGAACGCUGGCGGCAUGCCUUACACAUGCAAGUCGAACGGCAGCACGGGAGCAAUCCUGGUGGCGAGUGGCGAACGGGUGAGUAAUAUAUCGGAACGUGCCCGGUCGUGGGGAUAACGUAGCGAAAGCUACGCUAAUACCGCAUACGAUCUACGGAUGAAAGCGGGGGAUCGCAAGACCUCGCGCGAUUGGAGCGGCCGAUAUCAGAUUAGGUAGUUGGUGAGGUAAAGGCUCACCAAGCCGACGAUCUGUAGCUGGUCUGAGAGGACGACCAGCCACACUGGGACUGAGACACGGCCCAGACUCCUACGGGAGGCAGCAGUGGGGAAUUUUGGGACAAUGGGCGCAAGCCUGAUCCAGCAAUGCCGCGUGCAGGAUGAAGGCCUUC
RNAcentral lists this ribosomal RNA (389 nucleotides) under uncultured bacterium. RNAcentral's name for it is "bacterial SSU rRNA". It matches the Rfam family "Bacterial small subunit ribosomal RNA", at positions 30 to 419 of the family's 1533-position model. The record is from RNAcentral.